Molecule: long non-coding RNA, 3775 nt
Organism: Patella vulgata (common limpet)
Lineage: Eukaryota; Metazoa; Mollusca; Gastropoda; Patellidae
Exons: 3
Source: RefSeq, a predicted model, not a curated record
GUAAGUUUUAAGUCAACCAGGAAAUUUAUUAGUGUUAGAAAGCUGUCACAAAAAUUUGUGAUUAUUAAAAAGAUGUCCAAUAAUCAUAAUCAAGGGACCCACACUACAUAUAAUUAUUUAUAUUCACAUCCCAAUGCUGAUUACCAAGCAAAUGGAGAAGGCAGGCAAGUAGUUAGAAGGGGGCCAAUGCGGGCAUAUCCUGCCACUAGCUACGUGCCUGAAGAUAGCAACCUAAGAUCUGAACUUGAAAAUUUCAAAUCUGAAAUGAAUGAAAAGAUGGAACAAAAAGAUAAAGAAAUCGCAGAUUUAAAUAAAAAGAUGACAAGAAAAGAUAAGGAAGUCGCUGAAUUUAAGGAAAUGUUGGCUCAUCUGGAAGUAUCUAUGACGAAAACCGAAAAAUUAGAAGUUACAAAAAAACCCAACACUGAUACUAGAAAUUGUAAUACCAGUGAUAUUAAACUACAGAUAUUACACACACGCAAAUUGUUCCGCAGGUCUGUGAAUGAAACUAAGGAUGGUGAAGCUGUGAAGCCGAGAGCUCUACGAUUCACCUGGAGUAUGAAAACGACAAGUUCUAUGGACCCUCACGACAUGAUGAACGAAAUACGGAAAGUUCUUGAUGCAAAUAACUGUGAUUAUGAGCAACGGGAGAAAUUUCUCUUUCUCUGUGUGCACGAUGAUCCAAAUACAGACAGUCUAGUGCAAUGGGAGAUGGAAGUGUGCAAACUACCGAGACUUUCUCUAAAUGUAAAUGGAGUUCGUUUUAAACGCAUUUCCGGUACUUCAAUAGGCUUUAAGAACAUUGCAUCUAAAAUAGCUAAUGAACUGAAACUCUAAUGUUUAGCCCAGAAUUAUCUGAAUGUUGUCUGUCUGUGUGAAAUGAUGCAAGAGAUUCAUUCAAGUGGAAAAAACGUUUUUUGUUGAAAUUCCACUUACAUUGUAUCCUAUCGGACAUUUUCAAAUUAAAAACAUCGUGUUAUAUAUAUAUAUAUAUAUAAAUAUAUAAAUAUUAUAUCCUAUUAAUCUGUAUUAUAAUAGGAUUAAAAGAAAAACUAGGUUUUAAUUUUUUGUACCUGUACAUUUUGUAAUAUAUAUUGUAUAAAGUAAUAAGCAAAUGAGAGGACACCCUUUUUUUUUAGCCCCCAUAUUGUAUCUAGUUUUAUUGUAAAAUAACGUAUAUAUCUAUAUAUAUAUAUAUAAAGUCGUCUUGUAAUAUUUUUGAGGGCGAGUUAAAAAUUGAGUGUCCGAAGCUAGGAGAUCUACACAUAAAACUUGUUCUCUAACUUGCACCGUUAUUUAAUUGAUGUCCCUUUUAAAGAAAAAAAAACCUGUGCAACUGCUGUUUGUCUAGAGAUGUGGAUAUUCAGCAAUAAAAUACAUCUAUUAGUCUUUUGUCGUUUAACUAAUUAUUAUGGUUAUUGUUCCAGAUACAUUUGUUAUUUUCAGCAAGAAAAAUUUAUAGACUAUUCUUCAAUAAAUAUUUUCUUUAAAUUAAUAUUACCACAGUGUUUAAGUAGAAAUUAUGUUUAAUAUUGUAUGAAAGAUGGUUGAUUGUUAGCAUCCAUUGUAUUUCUCUUAGACUCGGUCAUUCUGGCCGUAUGCUCUUCACCUCUUGGGGAAAAUAAAAGACAGAUAAAGGGCCAUUCAAGCUUCUGAACUAUUUAUUUCCUUUAUGAAAAUAAGAAAUCGUAACGACCAAGAAAAGUGAAAUUAUAGAAUCAAAUCGCCAUAUUAUAAAACCACAAUAAAUUCUGGGUUAUUGUCUGGUAGGCCCAACGCUCUUUCAUUUCUUCGCAAUUACUUAAAAAUUUGUAGAUUGUCAAAAAGCUUCCCUUGAAAUAUCCCGGAAUAUAAAAAAUGUUGGGUAAACUAUAUUUUCCCCCAGAAUCAUGUUCAUUUUAUUCCCAGUGAGGGGAGGGGCCGCAAUGGCUCAGGGAGUAAAACGUUGGCUUGCUAACCUGGAGGUCUCGGGCUCGCUCCCAGUAUUGACUGAGGAAGUUCAUCAGGAUUUCCCCUUGUCAGAAGUGCAGAAUGGAGGGCCUGGCAAGGGACAUCAUUUGGAUGGGACGAAAAACCGAGGCGUAGUGUACACAUUGAUAACCAUGUUAAAGAACCCUUACAGUUGGAAUUCGAUAUAAGAGUAGGCCGUAGUGCCGCUGCCCGGGCAAAUUUUCCCUCAUAGUACACCAUAUCUCAUAGACCUACCCCAGUCGGAGUAGGACAUUUAACCCCAUUUCAUUUCCCAGAGGAAAGAACGUACAGACAGAAUGGAAGAGUUUCCCAGAAUGCAUCUAUUGUAGUGAAUGUUGUACAGUUUUAUUGAUAACUUACAUACCAAACCCCUAUACUCUAAUGCCUUUAAAGACUUGAUAUUCUUUAUAAAUACUGUAUUCUCAAGUCUUUUUGUAUUUCAAAUCCUUUCUCCUGUCGCUCUCUAUUUACUCGAAAUGUACUUUUUUGGUCAGAAAAUAUUGAUUAACUCUUAACAAUUGCCACAAGCCUUAUGCACGUAAUUUGGUCACAUUUUCAAUUAGAAUACAUUUGCGUAUGUAUGGUUGUUUCUGAAAAAAAAAGAAUCUCCUCGUAUAUUCCUAUUGAUAAUGGUAGAGGUAGGAGUUUUCAAUAUUUUCUUAAGGCCUAACGUAACACACCUUGAUUUAUUUAUCUGUGACACUCUGUCUACUGAUUUAUCGGCAUCGAAGUUUCGAUUGGCCAUUGUAUGUCGUAUACAAGAAUUCCCUACCCUGUUAAGGUUGUAAUGAUGUUUAUUAAAAAUCACCCACAUAAUGAGUCGUUUAUACAAAGCAAUUAGAGUGGCAUCCAUCAAACCAUCUCCACAAUCAAAGCGUGUAUUUCUAAAUAUAUCUAUGCCACCGAGGCGGUUUGCUGAUAAGGGAAUGAUCUGCCAGCAGCAGAAGUGCAACAGAUGAUAGGUCGAGAGCAGUCCUAUCACAGACCAUUGCUUAUUAGUCGGGUAAAGAAGAUGGCUCACAAAUAACUCUAGGUGUGUAUAGACAGGCCCAUUUCUCUCCAAAAAUCUCAUUUAUACACAAAAAGUACUAACUAUUAAUGAGGAGAUGUUGAUAUUUCAUUUGGAACAAAAGCUCAAAAGAAAGAAGAGAAAAAAAACCUUGUAAGGAAACUAUUUUGUAAAGUAUUUAUUUUCUAAUUGUUUAGAUAUCUAUAUAUGGUAAUUGUAUGAUGUUAUGAUGAUAACUUAUUUUAGAAUUUUGACUCUGAUGCUGUAAGAUGUUGGUGGAUGAAUAAUGUAUGAUGAUAAACUCAUUUUGGACUCUCAUGUUGAUAGAUGUUCGUAGAUUAAAAAUGUAUUAGUUCAUAUGACUAGAUUAUAAAGUCAUCCUUAGUAGCAUAUGGUUUACCUGUAGAUCACUUAUACGUUAUUUUCUUUUCAAACCUCAAAAGUAGGGUGGAUCUAGUCCGGGUUUCAAUCCUGGUGUUAGCUGAGCAGGUUCCUCAGGACUGUGCAGGACGGAGGACAUGGCAAAGAUCAGCAUAUAGUCGUAAGGAUGGGAUGAAAAACUGUAUCCUAUAAACCCCACGUUUCUUGAAUACAGAGUGCAAAUACUCCAUUUCCUAAAUUAAUUGUCAACCAAAAUCGCGUUCGUUUACAGAAAGCAAUGCUAUGGAGAGGGUUGCAUGUUUUACUGCAUAAAUUUUUAGAACUUCCAAAUUAAAAAUGCAAAUUAUACCAAUAUACAUGUAUUGUUAAUAUCACAUUAUGAAAUUAAGUCGAUAUUAAAGGUAAAUCUGCCUA